CCUACGGGUGGCUGCAGUGGGGAAUAUUGGACAAUGGGCGAAAGCCUGAUCCAGCCAUGCCGCGUGUGUGAAGAAGGCCUUCGGGUGGUAAAGCACUUUCAGUGGGGAAGAAAGCCUUGGGGCUAAUACCCUCGAGGAAGGACAUCACCCACAGAAGAAGCACCGGCUAACUCCGUGCCAGCAGCCGCGGUAAUACGGAGGGUGCGAGCGUUAAUCGGAAUUACUGGGCGUAAAGCGCGCGUAGGCGGUCUGAUAAGCCGGUUGUGAAAGCCCCGGGCUCAACCUGGGAACGGCAUCCGGAACUGUCAGGCUAGAGUGCAGGAGAGGAAGGUAGAAUUCCCGGUGUAGCGGUGAAAUGCGUAGAGAUCGGGAGGAAUACCAGUGGCGAAGGCGGCCUUCUGGACUGACACUGACGCUGAGGUGCGAAAGCGUGGGUAGCAAACAGGAUUAGAUACCCUAGUAGUC
This 465-nucleotide ribosomal RNA is filed under the name Vreelandella stevensii. Its description in RNAcentral is "partial 16S ribosomal RNA". It matches the Rfam family "Bacterial small subunit ribosomal RNA", at positions 338 to 795 of the family's 1533-position model. Lineage: Bacteria; Pseudomonadati; Pseudomonadota; Gammaproteobacteria; Oceanospirillales; Halomonadaceae. The record is from RNAcentral.